CUUGUUGGUGGGGUGAUGGCCUACCAAGGCGACGACGGGUAGCCGGCCUGAGAGGGCGACCGGCCACACUGGGACUGAGACACGGCCCAGACUCCUACGGGAGGCAGCAGUGGGGAAUAUUGCGCAAUGGGCGGAAGCCUGACGCAGCGACGCCGCGUGGGGGAUGACGGCCUUCGGGUUGUAAACCUCUUUCGACCUUGACGAAGGCCUCUUGGGGUUGACGGUAGGGGUAGAAGAAGCACCGGCCAACUACGUGCCAGCAGCCGCGGUAAUACGUAGGGUGCGAGCGUUGUCCGGAAUUAUUGGGCGUAAAGAGCUCGUAGGCGGCCUGUCACGUCGGUCGUGAAAACUUGGGGCUUAACCCUGAGCUUGCGGUCGAUACGGGCAUGACUGGAGUUCGGCAGGGGAGACUGGAAUUCCUGGUGUAGCGGUGAAAUGCGCAGAUAUCAGGAGGAACACCGGUGGCGAAGGCGGGUCUCUGGGCCGAUACUGACGCUGAGGAGCGAAAGCGUGGGGAGCGAACAGGAUUAGAUACCCUGGUAGUCCACGCCGUAAACGGUGGGCACUAGGUGUGGGGGCCAUUCCACGGUCUCUGUGCCGCAGCUAACGCAUUAAGUGCCCCGCCUGGGGAGUACGGCCGCAAGGCUAAAACUCAAAGGAAUUGACG
RNAcentral lists this ribosomal RNA (667 nucleotides) under uncultured Actinomycetes bacterium. RNAcentral's name for it is "SSU rRNA". It matches the Rfam family "Bacterial small subunit ribosomal RNA", at positions 245 to 915 of the family's 1533-position model. The record is from RNAcentral. Lineage: Bacteria; Bacillati; Actinomycetota; Actinomycetes.